RNAcentral lists this ribosomal RNA (497 nucleotides) under uncultured bacterium. RNAcentral's name for it is "partial 16S ribosomal RNA". It matches the Rfam family "Bacterial small subunit ribosomal RNA", at positions 28 to 507 of the family's 1533-position model. The record is from RNAcentral.
GACGAACGCUGGCGGCGUGCCUAAUACAUGCAAGUUGAGCGAUGAAGAUUGGUGCUUGCACCAAUUUGAAGAGCAGCGAACGGGUGAGUAACGCGUGGGGAAUCUGCCUUUGAGCGGGGGACAACAUUUGGAAACGAAUGCUAAUACCGCAUAACAACUUUAAACAUAAGUUUUAAGUUUGAAAGAUGCAAUUGCAUCACUCAAAGAUGAUCCCGCGUUGUAUUAGCUGGUUGGUGAGGUAAAGGCUCACCAAGGCGAUGAUACAUAGCCGACCUGAGAGGGUGAUCGGCCACAUUGGGACUGAGACACGGCCCAAACUCCUACGGGAGGCAGCAGGAGGGAAUCUUCGGCAAUGGACGAAAGUCUGACCGAGCAACGCCGCGUGAGUGAAGAAGGGUUUCGGAUCGUAAAACUCUGUUGGUAGAGAAGAACGUUGGUGAGAGUGGAAAGCUCAUCAAGUGACGGUAACUACCCAGAAAGGGACGGCUAACUACGUG